CUGCUGCCUCCCGUAGGAGUUUGGGCCGUGUCUCAGUCCCAAUGUGGCCGUCCACCCUCUCAGGCCGGCUACUGAUCGCUGCCUUGGUGGGCCGUUACCCCGCCAACUAGCUAAUCAGACGCGGAUCCAUCGUAUACCACCGGAGUUUUUCACACUGCCCCAUGCGGAGCCGUGCGCUUAUGCGGUAUUAGCACCUAUUUCUAAGUGUUAUCCCCGGUAUACGGCAGGUUAUCCACGCGUUACUCACCCGUCCGCCAA
RNAcentral lists this ribosomal RNA (258 nucleotides) under uncultured bacterium. RNAcentral describes it as "partial 16S ribosomal RNA". The record is from RNAcentral.